AUACUCCUGACUGACCGAUAGUGAACCAGUACCGUGAGGGAAAGGCGAAAAGAACCCCGGCGAGGGGAGUGAAAAAGAACCUGAAACCGUGUACGUACAAGCAGUGGGAGCCUCUUAAUGGGGUGACUGCGUACCUUUUGUAUAAUGGGUCAGCGACUUAUAUUCUGUAGCAAGGUUAACCGAAUAGGGGAGCCGAAGGGAAACCGAGUCUUAACUGGGCGUUAAGUUGCAGGGUAUAGACCCGAAACCCGGUGAUCUAGCCAUGGGCAGGUUGAAGGUUGGGUAACACUAACUGGAGGACCGAACCGACUAAUGUUGAAAAAUUAGCGGAUGACUUGUGGCUGGGGGUGAAAGGCCAAUCAAACCGGGAGAUAGCUGGUUCUCCCCGAAAGCUAUUUAGGUAGCGCCUCGUGAAUUCAUCUCCGGGGGUAGAGCACUGUUUCGGCAAGGGGGUCAUCCCGACUUACCAACCCGAUGCAAACUGCGAAUACCGGAGAAUGUUAUCACGGGAGACACACGGCGGGUGCUAACGUCCGUCGUGAAGAGGGAAACAACCCAGACCGCCAGCUAAGGUCCCAAAGUCAUGGUUAAGUGGGAAACGAUGUGGGAAGGCCCAGACAGCCAGGAUGUUGGCUUAGAAGCAGCCAUCAUUUAAAGAAAGCGUAAUAGCUCACUGGUCGAGUCGGCCUGCGCGGAAGAUGUAACGGGGCUAAACCAUGCACCGAAGCUGCGGCAGCGACACUAUGUGUUGUUGGGUAGGGGAGCG
This 766-nucleotide ribosomal RNA is filed under the name Escherichia coli. RNAcentral's name for it is "partial 23S ribosomal RNA". It matches the Rfam family "Bacterial large subunit ribosomal RNA", at positions 470 to 1238 of the family's 2925-position model. The record is from RNAcentral. Lineage: Bacteria; Pseudomonadati; Pseudomonadota; Gammaproteobacteria; Enterobacterales; Enterobacteriaceae.